Molecule: ribosomal RNA, 433 nt
Filed under: uncultured bacterium
Lineage: Bacteria
Description: partial 16S ribosomal RNA
Rfam family: Bacterial small subunit ribosomal RNA
Source: RNAcentral
AACGAACGCUGGCGGCAUGCCUAACACAUGCAAGUCGAACGAGACCUUCGGGUCUAGUGGCGCACGGGUGCGUAACGCGUGGGAACCUGCCCUUAGGUUCGGAAUAACUCCCCGAAGGGGGUGCUAAUACCGGAUAAUGUCUUCGGACCAAAGAUUUAUCGCCUUUGGAUGGGCCCGCGUUGGAUUAGCUAGUUGGUAGGGUAAAAGCCUACCAAGGCGACGAUCCAUAGCUGGUCUGAGAGGAUGAUCAGCCACACUGGGACUGAGACACGGCCCAGACUCGUACGGGAGGCAGCAGUGGGGAAUAUUGGACAAUGGGCGAAAGCCUGAUCCAGCAAUGCCGCGUGAGUGAUGAAGGCCUUAGGGUUGUAAAGCUCUUUUACCCGGGAUGAUAAUGACAGUACCGGGAGAAUAAGCACCGGCUAACUCCGUG